This is a long non-coding RNA of Cebus imitator (Panamanian white-faced capuchin), 651 nucleotides long. RefSeq lists it as uncharacterized. The transcript is spliced from 2 exons. The record is from RefSeq and is a predicted model, not a curated record. Lineage: Eukaryota; Metazoa; Chordata; Mammalia; Primates; Cebidae.
UCCAGCCUGGGUGACAGCAAGACUCCAUCUCAAAAAAUAAUAAUAAUAAAAUAAAUAAAGCUUCAGUCAGAAUAAUUCAAUCUGUACAGGGUAAUAUUCUCAUUGUCUUUAUUACAAAUGGUGAGUGAUUAGCAUGAGACCUAUGACUUAAUGUAAGCCCCGUGAGAGCAGGGACCUCAUGCCUUGUGCUAGCCUGAGAUAUGGAAGCUGCUCAACAUACAUUUAGUUUUCUAAUUUUUAUUUUGAAUUAUAGUUAAUUCCUGAACAGCAUGGGUUUGAACUGUGUGGUCCACUUACAUGGAAAUUUUCUUCCACCUCUUCUGCCCCUGAGACACCAAGACCAACCACUCCCUUCGUCUUCCUCCUCAGCCCACUCAGCGUGAAGACCAUGAGGAUAAAGAGCUUUACGAUGAUCCACUUCCACUAAAUGAAUUGGAAAUAUAGUUUUUUUCCUUAUGAUGUUUUUAAUAACAUCUGAGUCUCAUCACCUUCCAUAAAUUUACUGAUUUGCUAAAUUAUGAUAUGAAUAUGAAGGAGUCUCAUUCUUGCAUUCCCCUAUGAAAAACAGAUAGGAAACUAGAGUACAAUAUUUGUAUCUAGCUCAUUUUGCCUUUUCCUUUACAAUAUACCAUCAAAAUACUGUUUUCCAAA